RNAcentral lists this ribosomal RNA (293 nucleotides) under uncultured microorganism. RNAcentral's name for it is "partial 16S ribosomal RNA". It matches the Rfam family "Bacterial small subunit ribosomal RNA", at positions 505 to 796 of the family's 1533-position model. The record is from RNAcentral.
GUGCCAGCAGCCGCGGUAAUACGUAGCGUGGCAAGCGUUGUCCGGAAUUAUUGGGCGUAAAGCGCGCGCAGGCGGUCCUUUAAGUCUGAUGUGAAAGCCCACGGCUCAACCGUGGAGGGUCAUUGGAAACUGGAGGACUUGAGUGCAGAAGAGGAAAGUGGAAUUCCAUGUGUAGCGGUGAAAUGCGUAGAGAUGUGGAGGAACACCAGUGGCGAAGGCGACUUUCUGGUCUGUAACUGACGCUGAGGCGCGAAAGCGUGGGGAGCAAACAGGAUUAGAUACCCUGGUAGUCC